This 468-nucleotide ribosomal RNA is filed under the name uncultured bacterium. RNAcentral describes it as "partial 16S ribosomal RNA". It matches the Rfam family "Bacterial small subunit ribosomal RNA", at positions 28 to 507 of the family's 1533-position model. The record is from RNAcentral.
GACGAACGCUGGCGGCGUGCUUAACACAUGCAAGUCGAACGGAAAGGCCCUGCUUUUGUGGGGUGCUCGAGUGGCGAACGGGUGAGUAACACGUGAGUAACCUGCCCUUGACUUUGGGAUAACUUCAGGAAACUGGGGCUAAUACCGGAUAGGAGCUCCUGCUGCAUGGUGGGGGUUGGAAAGUUUCGGCGGUUGGGGAUGGACUCGCGGCUUAUCAGCUUGUUGGUGGGGUAGUGGCUUACCAAGGCUUCGACGGGUAGCCGGCCUGAGAGGGUGACCGGCCACAUUGGGACUGAGGGACGGCCCAGACGCGUACGGGAGGCAGCAGUGGGGAAUAUUGCACAAUGGGCGGGAGCCUGAUGCAGCAACGCCGCGUGCGGAAUGACGGCCUUCGAGGUGUAAACCGCUUUGGCCUGUGACGAAGAGUGAGUGACGGUAAUGGGUAAAGAAGCACCGGCUAACUACGUG